UGGAUUCUGUGGGGCCCAUGGUCAGG
RNAcentral lists this non-coding RNA (26 nucleotides) under Homo sapiens (human). The record is from RNAcentral. Lineage: Eukaryota; Metazoa; Chordata; Mammalia; Primates; Hominidae.